Long non-coding RNA from Zea mays, 1087 nucleotides. RefSeq lists it as uncharacterized. NCBI's taxonomy places the organism in Eukaryota, Viridiplantae, Streptophyta, Magnoliopsida, Poales, Poaceae. The record is from RefSeq and is a predicted model, not a curated record. The transcript has 3 exons.
AAUUAUCAAGGGAGUAUUGUUGCAUUUCACAAGAUUAAACGGGUUCCUCUUCAGUGUUUGUAGCUGGAGAUCAGGAGAAUAACUUUAAACUACACCUUUCUACUUUCAAGAAUCUACCCCUGGCUGGUUGCUGUACAUUGGUUGCCUUUGUGGAACUCCCAUGUGGUUAACUUGUGGUUACACAUCAUGAGGCUAUGGGUUGCUGUACAUUGGUUGCCUUUAUGGAACUCCCAUGCUACUAUUGAUUCUAGCUCAUGUUUGAUUUUAGCUAUAGUUUUGGUUUAUUAUUUUUAUCUAUGACCCCAUACAAUAGAGAAGUACAGAAAUUGACAAGAGAAGCAUUUUAGGGACUGUUUUAAUACCUAUACUUGAAAUUCAAUUGCUAAAUCUGUUGGACAUGUUUAUCUUAUGAGAGACUUAAGAGUUCUGUUGGUACUAGGUGACUUCUCUCUGUUCAAGCGUUGACAGAGCUUCUUGUAGGUGCUCUUGGAAUUCAAGGAGUAUGCCACAGAGGUUAAUGUUGAUUCUGUGCGGAAAGCUGUUCGUGCGGUUUGGAGAUGUGCAAUUAAAUUGGAGAGAGCUGCUAAAAGGUGCAUCAGCGUUUUGCUCGAGCUGAUUAAGAUAAAAGUUAAUUAUGUUGUUCAGGAAGCUAUAAUUGUUAUCAAAGACAUCUUCAGACGCUACCCUAACACGUAUGAGUCUAUCAUUGCUACGCUUUGUGAAAGUCGCUUUGUGAAAGUCUGGACACUUUAGAUGAACCAGAGGCUAAGGCAUCCAUGAUUUGGAUAAUUGGAGAAUAUGCUGAAAGAAUUGACAAUGGCUAAGGAUUGUAUUAUGGUCACACAUUUUUGUUUUUUAGAUUGGAUAUUCCAGCAGUAGUUAAUGGAUAAGUUAAAGAUGUCAUCUGACGUCAGUUUCCUGUCUUUUGUCCAUAGAGUUCAGUUUACAAACACAGUAGUGAUUUUACCUACAAUUGAUGCAUUCAAAAACGUCUAUGAUUUGCUUGUUAGAUUGAAAGGGUUUCCACCCCUUGAAGGUACGCUGAACCAUACAUGGGUCAUAGUAACACACGGAUAUUGUUUAAUCA